AUCACCCAAACCAAAACUUAUCUUGUUCUCCUCCUCAUUUUCUUCUGAACAGAGAUCUUGGGAAUCAAAAUCCUAUGUCCCUCUCCCUCAGCGAAAACUUGUGAACCAAUAUUAUCCUCAGCUAAACCUAGAUCUGUUAAAAUCAAAACUGUCCUUUGUAGAUAUAAAUCAAAUUCAAUUUGCUAUAAAUCAAAACCCAUCAGAAAUCAAACCUAAUUUCACUUACCAAAAUUUCGUUUUAAACAAACUCAAUUUGCUAUAAAUCAAAACCCGUCAGAAAUCAAACCUAAUUUCACUUACCCAAAUUUCGCUUUAAACCCUAGAUAUGUGAUUUUUGCUUAAAUGAAAUGCGUUUACCGGUGAAACCCUUAUUUCAUUGUAAUUGAUUUUGUGAGUCAAGUUUAUUUUGCAUAGUUGAAUACCAACCUCAAUGAAAACUCUCUGAUCUGAAAUUUUAUUUAUGUGAAUCUUAUUUUACAUCACGAAAAAUACGAAGAAGAUGCGAGCUGAGAAUAGAGAAAGAAGAGGGGGAUCGAAUUUGAUUGGUGGUAGUUGCUUCAGAUGGUGGAGUUUAGGAGUGUUUGCAAUGGUUUUCAGGUGAGGAAUGGUAGAGAUAAUGCAUAGAACUGCUGGUGUUUGGAGCAACAGAAGAUGAAAUGGGUUUUGCAGUUUUAGUCUGAAGUUGAAGUUACAGGUUCAGGAUAUGGAUUUGGUUACUGCUAAUGGAUGGAGAAGAUAUGUACUGAAAUGGCAGUUUCUGGUGGUUAUGUUGGUGAUUGAUUGUUGAGGAAUCUGAGAUGGAGAUGGAACUGCUAGUGUUGAUGAGAUGGUUUGUUUUUGAAGCUGUAUGUGGAUAAAAUGCAGAGAAACAGUGGGUUAUAUUUUUGCUGAUGCUUAGAGCCUGUGCUGAUGCAGUGGAUGUAUGAGAUGGAGAUGGUUGAGCAGCAGAGAGGCCUCGAAAUGUGCUGUGCUUGAAUCUUAUUGUUAUCAACAGAAUGGACUGUCUUGGUGAUGUGUAAACAAGGAAGAACAACAAAUAUGGUGUUGCAGUUGAAUGAAUGGGUUGAGCUGAUGUUGAGGAAUGAGAUGAAUUUCAGUAGUGACCUCCGCUAAAGGUCAAUCACUUGCUGACGAGUAUUCCAGAAGUGCUCAAUACCUUGCGUAUUUUGGUGGAAAUGUUGGGUUACGGUAUGCUGAAAGUUGUCCUCGUGGUGGGAUCUGCUACUUAAACAGCAGCAUGGUAAGUUGGUUGACAAAGAAAAUCGGCCAAAGGAGGGUCUUGUCACUACAGGUGUAACUUCAGGUGCUUCUACCCAAGAUAAGAAAAGAUGCUAUGAAGCUGGUAAUUUAUGGAUGGAUUGGUCGAUUACAUCAUGUCAUUGUGCCCAGCUGCAGCAAAAGAAUCGAGGUAGCUCUUAGAGGCUAGUUGAAACUUGGGAAAGUCCUGUAGUGUACCAACGUACACAGUCCCACUAUUUUCUUGUUGCUCUAAUCCUUAAAGCUAGGACUAAGCUAGUACUGUGAGCAUAUUUGGAGUAACAACUGGAAACAAUAGCUUCAUAACAAUAUUUCUUAUGUUCCGGAGUGGAAUUUCAUUGUAUUUUUUUCAAACUUAGUUUAUGUUGUUGUAAGGAUUAGUGAUUAUCUGAUCAAAUUGGGUCUUUUAGUUUAUUUACAAUGGUAUAUGAAGGUAUAGAAAUCUACCGGAAUUAUUGUCGGAAUUAUCAUCGGAUUUUAUUUUUU
Long non-coding RNA from Papaver somniferum (opium poppy), 1743 nucleotides. RefSeq lists it as uncharacterized. The record is from RefSeq and is a predicted model, not a curated record. The transcript has 4 exons. NCBI's taxonomy places the organism in Eukaryota, Viridiplantae, Streptophyta, Magnoliopsida, Ranunculales, Papaveraceae.